GAUGAACGCUGGCGGCGUGCUUAAUACAUGCAAGUCGAACGGAGAAUUAGCAAUAGUUCUUAGUGGCGAACGGGUGAGUAACGCGUUGGUGACCUGCCCCGAAGAGAGGGAUAACAGUUCGAAAGGACUGCUAAUACCGCAUGUGGUUGUUGAGGUUAGAGGCUUGACAACUAAAGGAGAAAUCCGCUUCGGGAGGGGCCUGCGUCCCAUCAGCUAGUUGGUAGGGUAAAGGCCUACCAAGGCGAAGACGGGUAGGGGGCCUGAGAGGGUGACCCCCCACACUGGCACUGAAACAACGGGCCGAGACACCUACGGGUGGCAG
Molecule: ribosomal RNA, 322 nt
Filed under: uncultured Chloroflexota bacterium
Lineage: Bacteria; Bacillati; Chloroflexota
Description: bacterial SSU rRNA
Rfam family: Bacterial small subunit ribosomal RNA
Source: RNAcentral